RNAcentral lists this ribosomal RNA (514 nucleotides) under uncultured eukaryote. Its description in RNAcentral is "SSU rRNA". It matches the Rfam family "Eukaryotic small subunit ribosomal RNA", at positions 615 to 1129 of the family's 1831-position model. The record is from RNAcentral.
GCGGUUAAAAAGCUCGUAGUUGGAUCUCGGCGGGCAGGGGGUGGUUCGCUCUUCAGCGCUACUGCCCCGCUUUGCCCGUGUGAUUGGCGGAGGUUUCGGGGUGCUCUUCGUUGAGUGACUCGGAGCGCCGUCAGGUUUACUUUGAAAAAAUUAGAGUGCUCAAAGCAGGCUUUUCACGCUUGAAUAUUCGUGCAUGGAAUAAUGGAAUAGGAACUCGUUUCUAUUUUGUUGGUUUUCGGAAAUCGAGUUAAUGAUUAACAGGGACAAUUGGGGGCAUUAGUAUUCAGACGACAGAGGUGAAAUUCUUGGACCGUCUGAAGACUGACUACUGCGAAAGCAUUUGCCAAGAGUGUUUUCAUUAAUCAAGAACGAAAGUUAGAGGUUCGAAGGCGAUCAGAUACCGCCCUAUUUCUAACCAUAAACGAUGCCAGCUAGCGAUCUGCCGAGUUUUUUUUGUAGGCUCCGCANGAAGCUUUCGGGAAACUCAAAGCUUUUGGGUCCGGGGGAAUAUGGU